Molecule: transfer RNA, 75 nt
Filed under: Coriobacteriales bacterium
Lineage: Bacteria; Bacillati; Actinomycetota; Coriobacteriia; Coriobacteriales
Description: tRNA-Gly
Rfam family: tRNA
About the family: Transfer RNA (tRNA) molecules are approximately 80 nucleotides in length. Their secondary structure includes four short double-helical elements and three loops (D, anti-codon, and T loops).
Source: RNAcentral
GCGGGUGUCGCCAAGUGGUAAGGCACAAGCUUCCCAAGCUUGCAUCCGCCGGUUCGAAUCCGGUCACCCGCUCCA